This 347-nucleotide ribosomal RNA is filed under the name uncultured bacterium. Its description in RNAcentral is "partial 16S ribosomal RNA". It matches the Rfam family "Bacterial small subunit ribosomal RNA", at positions 338 to 700 of the family's 1533-position model. The record is from RNAcentral.
CCUACGGGGGGCAGCAGUGGGGAAUAGUGGGCAAUGGGCGCAAGCCUGACCCAGCAAUGCCGCGUGAAGGAAGAAGGCUUUCGGGUGGUAAACUUCUUGGACAGGGGAAGAGCAGAAGACGGGACCCGGAAAACAAGCCAAGGCUAACUACGUGCCAACAGCCGCGGUAAUACGUAGGUGGCAAGCGUUGUCCGGAUUUACUGGGUGUAAAGGGCGUGUAGCCGGGAAGGAAAGUCAGAUGUGAAAUCUGGAGGCUCAACCUCCAAAUUGAAUUUGAAACGGUUUUUCUUGAGUACUGGAGCGGCAGCCGGACUUCCUUGUGUAGCGGUGACAUGCGUCGAUAUAAG